CUACACGGGGGGCCUACGGGAGGCAGCAGUGGGGAAUUUUGGACAAUGGGCGAAAGCCUGAUCCAGCAAUGCCGCGUGUGUGAAGAAGGCCUUCGGGUUGUAAAGCACUUUUGUCCGGAAAGAAAUCCUUGGCUCUAAUACAGUCUGGGGAUGACCU
Molecule: ribosomal RNA, 157 nt
Filed under: uncultured Burkholderia sp.
Lineage: Bacteria; Pseudomonadati; Pseudomonadota; Betaproteobacteria; Burkholderiales; Burkholderiaceae
Description: partial 16S ribosomal RNA
Rfam family: Bacterial small subunit ribosomal RNA
Source: RNAcentral